AAGCCUAAUGGGAUCCUGAGUACGGCGAGACACGAGGAAUCUUGUCGGAAGCAGGCGGGACCAUCCGCCAAGGCUAAAUAUAAACGAGUGAGCGAUAGUGAACCAGUACCGUGAGGGAAAGGUGAAAAGAACCGCGGGAGCGGAGUGAAAGAGAACCUGAAACCGUAUGCCUACAAGAAGUCAGAGCCCGUUAAGGGGUGAUGGCGUGCCUUUUGUAGAAUGAACCGGCGAGUUGCGACAGACUGCGAGGUUAAGGAGGAAAGACCGGAGCCGAAGCGAAAGCGAGUCUUAAGAGGGCGAAAGUAGGAUGUUGCAGACCCGAAACCGGGUGAUCUAGCCAUGAGCAGGUUGAAGUUGAGGUGAAACUCAAUGGAGGACCGAACCGACUACCGUUGAAAAGUUAGCGGAUGACUUGUGGCUAGGGGAGAAAUUCCAAUCGAACCCGGAGAUAGCUGGUUCUCCCCGAAAUAGCUUUAGGGCUAGCGUCGGAAAGAACCUUAGUGAAGGUAGAGCACUGAAUGUGUGAUGGCCCCAUCCCGGGGUACUGAAUACAAUCAAACUGCGAAUGUCAUUAAGGAUGUCCGGCAGUCAGACUGUGAGUGAUAAGGUCCAUGGUCAAGAGGGAAACAGCCCAGACCGCCAGUUAAGGUCCCAAAAUACAGGCUAAGUGGAAAAGGAUGUGGGGAUGCCCAGACAACUAGGAGGUUGGCUCAGAAGCAGCCAUCCUUCAAAGAGUGCGUAACAGCUCACUAGUCGAGUGACCCUGCGCCGAAAAUGUACCGGGGCUAAGCCUGAUACCGAAACUGCGGAUUGUAGGAAACUAUAGUGGUAGGGGAGCGUUGUAUACGAGUAGAAGCCGUACCGUGAGGAGCGGUGGAUUGUAUAGAAGUGAGAAUGCCGGUGUGAGUAGCGAGAUGUAGGUGAGAAUCCUACACACCGAAAGCCCAAGGAUUCCAGGGGAAGGUUCGUCCGCCCUGGGUAAGUCGGGACCUAACGCGAGGCCGAAAGGCGUAGUGGAUGGAAAGCAGGCGAAAGAUUCCUGCACCCGUAUAUGGAGCGAAGGAGUGACGGAGACGGAUAGUGUGACCCUCUUAAUGGAUUGAGGGCGAAGCGAAGCGGCUGGUUACCAGGCAAAUCCGGUAACCAUAAGGCUAGAGCGUGAGAGGUAAGCGAAAUCUUAGGAAAGUAGCGAAGCACAUGAUGACGGCUUCCAGGAAAAGCUUCUGGCAAUGCAUAUGCGGCCCGUACCAAAACCGACACAGGUGGGCAGGGAGAGAAUCCCGAGGUGAGCGAGAGAACUGUUGCCAAGGAACUCGGCAAAAUGACUCCGUAAGUUAGCGAGAAGGAGUGCUUAAGCAAUUAAGCCGCAGUGAAGAGGCCCAAGCGACUGUUUAACUAAAACACAGCUCUCUGCGAAGUCGCAAGACGAAGUAUAGGGGGUGACACCUGCCCGGUGCUGGAAGGUUAAGAGGAUCUGUUAAGAGCGAUCUGAAGCAGUGAUCCGAAGCCCCAGUGAACGGCGGCCGUAACUAUAACGGUCCUAAGGUAGCGAAAUUCCUUGUCAGGUAAGUUCUGACCCGCACGAAAGGUGUAACGAUUUGGGCGCUGUCUCGGCAGCAGACUCGGUGAAAUCUUAGUACCUGUGAAAAUGCAGGUUACCCGCAACUAGACGGAAAGACCCCAUGGAGCUUUACUGCAGCCUGAUAUUGAAUUCUGGUCAUACAUGUACAGGAUAGGUGGGAGACAAAGAGACGUGCACGCCAGUGUACGAGGAGUCGACGUUGGGAUACCACUCUUGUGUGACCGGGGUUCUAACCUGGUAUCGAGAACAGGUACGGGGAGAGUGUCAGGUGGGCAGUUUGACUGGGGCGGUCGCCUCCCAAAGAGUAACGGAGGCGCCCAAAGGUACGCUCAGAUUGGAUGGAAACCAAUCGUCGAGUGCAAUUGCAGAAGCGUGCUUGACUGUGAGACUUACAAGUCGAACAGGGACGAAAGUCGGGAAUAGUGAUCCGGCGGUGCCGAAUGGAAGGGCCGUCGCUCAACGGAUAAAA
RNAcentral lists this ribosomal RNA (2051 nucleotides) under human gut metagenome. Its description in RNAcentral is "bacterial LSU rRNA". It matches the Rfam family "Bacterial large subunit ribosomal RNA", at positions 393 to 2461 of the family's 2925-position model. The record is from RNAcentral.